UAGGGGGCGGUGAGCUGCGGCCGUGGAUAAUAUCUUCGCUCUCCGGGAUAGCUUGGGGAUUUCUCGUCUCGCCGUCUUGGUCGUGGGUGUGUUCGGGCUCGUUGGCGACUCGCCAUUAGCCCAGGCAGGCAGCUUCCACUAUCGACUGUCGAGUGGGUGUAUAUUGCCGGCCUAUGCAACCUUUUCGGGGCCGCCCGUCUCACUUUCCUCUUGUUAUUUCCGCUUCUUCCUCCCAAUCCUCUCUUCCUUGUUUCGUCCGUUCGGAAGCUGCAUCCUGUAGAUCGGCCGCCCUUCGCGCCUGCCACGCGAUUCGCGCCUUCGGCGGUGGCCGGUGCUGCUCCAUGGCGGCCCUCUGCCGCGUGUUCGGUUAAGGUCAUCGCUUGGCUGGGAUUUCCGCGUCGGUUGGCAGCGGCUGCUCUUGCUGAUCUGUUGUCUACUUCUGUUCUUGGCUAGCUGCUGCCGUGGGUUGGUUGUUCUGCCUGUCAGUCAGUUGCAGAUGUGAAGAGUAUUCAUUUGCACCAAGAAGCUCUAGGAGUUGGGAGGAAGGAGGAGUCCAGGGCCAUCCAUUGGCGGUGGCAGAAUGCUCAGGGUCGAGUUGGAGGUGAACAACAAGAGGCAUGCCAGAGGGUCACCAUCUUUGGAGCACACCAUUAGCCCAGACCAUCACCACAAGAAAUGGAGU
Long non-coding RNA from Lolium perenne, 682 nucleotides. RefSeq lists it as uncharacterized. NCBI's taxonomy places the organism in Eukaryota, Viridiplantae, Streptophyta, Magnoliopsida, Poales, Poaceae. The record is from RefSeq and is a predicted model, not a curated record.